This 90-nucleotide transfer RNA is filed under the name Pontixanthobacter aestiaquae. RNAcentral's name for it is "tRNA-Ser". It matches the Rfam family "tRNA". Rfam says of the family: Transfer RNA (tRNA) molecules are approximately 80 nucleotides in length. Their secondary structure includes four short double-helical elements and three loops (D, anti-codon, and T loops). Further hydrogen bonds mediate the characteristic L-shaped molecular structure. tRNAs have two regions of fundamental functional importance: the anti-codon, which is responsible for specific mRNA codon recognition, and the 3' end, to which the tRNAs corresponding amino acid is attached (by aminoacyl-tRNA synthetases). tRNAs cope with the degeneracy of the genetic code in two manners: having more than one tRNA (with a specific anti-codon) for a particular amino acid; and 'wobble' base-pairing, i.e. permitting non-standard base-pairing at the 3rd anti-codon position. The record is from RNAcentral. Lineage: Bacteria; Pseudomonadati; Pseudomonadota; Alphaproteobacteria; Sphingomonadales; Erythrobacteraceae. RNAcentral also lists the same sequence under 1 other name.
GGGCAGUUGGCAGAGUGGUCGAAUGCACUAGUCUUGAAAACUAGCGAGGGUGCAAGCCCUCCAAGGGUUCGAAUCCCUUACUGCCCGCCA